Molecule: ribosomal RNA, 485 nt
Filed under: uncultured bacterium
Lineage: Bacteria
Description: bacterial SSU rRNA
Rfam family: Bacterial small subunit ribosomal RNA
Source: RNAcentral
AUGAACGCUGGCGGCGUGCCUAAUACAUGCAAGUCGAGCGAUCUACUUCACCAGUGAGUGGCGGACGGGUGAGUAACACGUAGGUAACCUGCCCCGGAGCGGGGGAUAACAUUUGGAAACAGAUGCUAAUACCGCAUAACAACAAAAGCCACAUGGCUUUUGUUUGAAAGAUGGCUUUGGCUAUCACUCUGGGAUGGACCUGCGGUGCAUUAGCUAGUUGGUAAGGUAACGGCUUACCAAGGCGAUGAUGCAUAGCCGAGUUGAGAGACUGAUCGGCCACAAUGGAACUGAGACACGGUCCAUACUCCUACGGGAGGCAGCAGUAGGGAAUCUUCCACAAUGGGCGCAAGCCUGAUGGAGCAACACCGCGUGAGUGAAGAAGGGUUUCGGCUCGUAAAGCUCUGUUGUUGGAGAAGAACGUGCGUGAGAGUAACUGUUCACGCAGUGACGGUAUCCAACCAGAAAGUCACGGCUAACUACGUGCC